This 868-nucleotide ribosomal RNA is filed under the name uncultured bacterium. RNAcentral describes it as "bacterial SSU rRNA". It matches the Rfam family "Bacterial small subunit ribosomal RNA", at positions 21 to 892 of the family's 1533-position model. The record is from RNAcentral.
GGCUCAGAUUGAACGCUGGCGGCAUGCCUUACACAUGCAAGUCGAACGGUAACAGGUUAAGCUGACGAGUGGCGAACGGGUGAGUAAUAUAUCGGAACGUGCCCAGUCGUGGGGGAUAACGUAGCGAAAGCUACGCUAAUACCGCAUACGAUCUAUGGAUGAAAGCGGGGGAUCGCAAGACCUCGCGCGAUUGGAGCGGCCGAUAUCAGAUUAGCUAGUUGGUGGGGUAAAGGCUCACCAAGGCGACGAUCUGUAGCUGGUCUGAGAGGACGACCAGCCACACUGGAACUGAGACACGGUCCAGACUCCUACGGGAGGCAGCAGUGGGGAAUUUUGGACAAUGGGCGCAAGCCUGAUCCAGCAAUGCCGCGUGCAGGACGAAGGCCUUCGGGUUGUAAACUGCUUUUGUACGGAGCGAAACGGCUCUCUCUAAUACAGGGGGCUAAUGACGGUACCGUAAGAAUAAGCACCGGCUAACUACGUGCCAGCAGCCGCGGUAAUACGUAGGGUGCAAGCGUUAAUCGGAAUUACUGUGCGUAAAGCGUGCGCAGGCGGUUUUGUAAGACAGAUGUGAAAUCCCCGGGCUCAACCUGGGACCUGCAUUUGUGACUGCAAGGCUAGAGUACGGCAGAGGGGGAUGGAAUUCCGCGUGUAGCAGUGAAAUGCGUAGAUAUGCGGAGGAACACCGAUGGCGAAGGCAAUCCCCUGGGCCUGUACUGACGCUCAUGCACGAAAGCGUGGGGAGCAAACAGGAUUAGAUACCCUGGUAGUCCACGCCCUAAACGAUGUCAACUGGUUGUUGGGUCUUCACUGACUCAGUAACGAAGCUAACGCGUGAAGUUGACCGCCUGGGGAGUACGGCCGCAAG